GAGAGAGAGAGAGAGAGAGAGACCCUACAGAAUGACCAAUUUUUGAUCUUGUAAGAUAACUCCUGAAAUUAGACCCACCUAGAAAAACCGAGUAGUUAAAUAUAUGAAAGGUGGAUGCAUAAACAACCAAGGGAAGAAACUAAAAUGCCCCUCGGUUGAAAAGGAUAAAACAAGUAUGGAUCAACCCAAAGAACCUUUCUAAGGUAACCAAAAAGGUUAGUCCAUAUCAAAUGAAGCCAGGAAAAACAUAUGCAAGACCUGAAGGGGAUACUAAAAAAAGGCAAUAAACAAAUUAAUUAAGGGUUCAAAGAGAUGAGGACGUUUACGCACAUAAAGAAGCCAUUUGGCAACUCAAUUGGCCAUAGUGAGAUUAGUCAUGGCCCUUGUAAUAGCUGCAAUGCAGCUUGAACUCCUGGCAAUCCCUCCAUUCUUUUGGGCACCUUUAGGACUAAUAGAUUGUGCCCUUCUUGUGCUUUUCUUUAAGAUCUCCCUCAUGGCCUCAGCUUGGGACAGGACUGGAUAAGCCCUACCAAACUUGUUAAACCUUGCACAUGCACUCAUAUGUGCAUUAAGAGCCUCCUCUAUUUUGCCUCCAUUUUUCUCCUUCUCUUCUUUCACUGCCUCUGCACACAACCCACAAAUCCACUUCCCUAAGAACUUGUUGCGAACGCGAUCAAUGUACUCGGGGGUGCACUCUUCAAUCAUGCCACAACAUUCACAUUUUGCAUCUUCAACCUCUGAUAUUGGCGGGAGCUGCUUGAUAUCGAUUGCUUCCUUGCUCAGUUCAUAUGAGAUAUCGGAUAUUGUUCGAUGAAGAUUAUUGUUGUUCGAGGGUCUUGGUGGCUUGGAGAAGCUGUUGGUCUUACUGUAAGUACUAGCAAUAGCCUCUACAUGUGGUGGUGCCAUAAUUGACAAGAGAACCUUGCAGAGAAUUUAGGAAAGAAGAACGAAGACACCUGCAGAAGUGGGUUGAAAUAGAGAAACUUGUAGAUAAUUAACUCGGAG
Molecule: unclassified non-coding RNA, 1005 nt
Filed under: Hevea brasiliensis (rubber tree)
Lineage: Eukaryota; Viridiplantae; Streptophyta; Magnoliopsida; Malpighiales; Euphorbiaceae
Source: RNAcentral